CGAGGGCUGGCCAUGCUCCGCCGGAAGGCGCCUUGUUCUCCGAAAGGGUGAGUUGAAACGCUGGCUGGAAAGGAAACACCAGGACUGGUUCAGGAGUUCCACCAUCUUCCUCUGAAGACCUAGCCAUCUUGCUCCAUGAAGGUCAGGACAAUCUGACAUGCACUUGUUUCUUGCCUCUUUACCUGAAGAGUAGUCUUCUUCCAUUGUGUACAUUUUUUUCUUAAUAGGGGAGGGGAGGGGAGAGCCAGUACCCCCCCUCCCCUUCCCUCCCUAGACCUUGGGGAAGUACCCUCCAUUGCUUUCCCAAGAUGGCAGACCCCAUCAUGGAUCUGUUUGAUGACCCAAAUUUAUUUGGCCUGGACUCUCUGACUGAUGACAGCUUCAACCAAGUCACACAAGACCCCAUUGAGGAAGCCCUUGGACUGCCAAGCUCUCUGGACUCCUUGGACCAGAUGAACCAGGAUGGUGGAGGUGGUGAUGUGGGGAAUCCAUCAGCAAGUGACCUGGUCCCCCCACCAGAGGAUACAGCCCCCACAGAACUUCCCAAAGAAUCAACAGCUCCAGCUCCAGAAUCUUUAACCUUGCAUGAUUAUACCACUCAGCCCGUCAGCCAGGAGCAGCCAGCCCAACCUGUCUUACAGACACCGACGCCAACAUCAGGCCGUUUGCAGGUCUCCAAGAGCCAGGAGAUCCUGAGCCAAGGGAAUCCUUUCAUGGGUGUCUCUGCCACAGCUGUGGCCUCCGGCAGUGCUGGAGGGCAGCCGCCUCAGUCAGCCCCUAAGAUUGUUAUCCUUAAAGCCCCACCAAGCUCCUCAGUCACUGGUGCCCACGUGGCACAAAUUCAGGCCCAAGGUAUCACCAGCACAGCUCAGCCCCUGGUGGCUGGCACAGCCAAUGGUGGAAAAGUCACUUUUACCAAAGUGCUAACCGGCACUCCCCUUCGACCAGGUGUUUCCAUUGUCUCUGGUAAUACAGUGUUGGCCGCCAAGGUCCCUGGGAACCAGGCUACUGUCCAGCGCAUUGUCCAGCCCAGCCGACCUGUAAAGCAGCUGGUCCUACAGCCAGUUAAGGGUUCAGCUCCUGCUGGAAACCCUGGGGCCACAGGGCCCCCACUGAAGCCUGCAGUUACACUGACCUCUACACCUACCCAGGGUGAAUCGAAACGCAUCACCCUGGUCCUCCAGCAGCCACAGUCUGGAGGUCCCCAAGGACACCGGCAUGUCGUGCUAGGGAGUCUACCAGGCAAGAUAGUGUUACAGGGCAACCAGCUGGCAGCCCUCACUCAAGCCAAGAAUGCCCAGGGGCAGCCCGCCAAAGUAGUAACUAUCCAGCUGCAGGUGCAGCAGCCACAGCAGAAAAUCCAGAUUGUACCACAGCCUCCAUCAUCACAGCCGCAGCCCCAGCAGCCACCCUCAGCACAGCCAGUGACUCUCUCCUCUGUGCAGCAGGCUCAGAUAAUGGGACCAGGACAGAGCCCGGGACAAAGACUUUCAGUUCCGCUGAAGGUGGUGCUGCAGCCACAGGCUGGCUCUUCCCAAGGGGCCUCUUCUGGGCUUUCCGUAGUUAAAGUCCUAAGUGCCAGUGAAGUGGCAGCUCUGUCCUCACCAGCCAGCUCUGCUCCUCAUGCUGGGGGCAAGACAGGAAUGGAGGAAAACCGUAGGCUGGAGCACCAGAAGAAGCAAGAGAAAGCCAAUCGGAUUGUAGCAGAAGCCAUUGCCAGGGCUCGUGCCCGGGGUGAGCAGAACAUACCUCGAGUCCUGAAUGAGGAUGAGUUGCCCAGUGUUCGGCCUGAGGAGGAAGGUGAAAAGAAACGUCGGAAAAAGAGCAGUGGGGAGAGACUCAAGGAAGAAAAGCCAAAGAAGAGCAAAACAUCUGGUACCUCCAAAACCAAGGGCAAGAGUAAACUGAACACCAUCACUCCUGUGGUGGGUAAGAAGAGAAAGCGCAAUACCUCCUCUGAUAAUUCAGAUGUGGAAGUUAUGCCUGCACAAUCACCCCGGGAAGAUGAAGAAAGCAGCAUUCAGAAGAGACGCUCAAACCGUCAAGUUAAGCGAAAAAAAUAUACAGAGGACCUGGAUAUAAAGAUCACAGAUGAUGAAGAAGAAGAAGAAGUGGAUGUAACUGGUCCAAUAAAAACUGAGCCUAUCCUCCCUGAACCAGUGCAGGAACCCGAUGGCGAGACUUUGCCUUCCAUGCAGUUCUUUGUGGAGAAUCCCAGUGAAGAAGAUGCAGCCAUUGUAGACAAAGUGCUUUCUAUGAGGAUUGUGAAGAAGGAGCUUCCUUCCGGACAGUAUACUGAAGCAGAAGAAUUCUUUGUCAAGUACAAGAACUACUCCUAUCUGCAUUGUGAGUGGGCUACCAUCUCCCAACUAGAGAAGGACAAGAGGAUCCAUCAAAAACUAAAGCGCUUCAAAACGAAAAUGGCUCAGAUGAGACACUUCUUCCAUGAGGACGAAGAGCCCUUCAAUCCGGACUAUGUGGAGGUGGACAGGAUAUUGGAUGAGUCUCACAGCGUUGACAAGGACAAUGGGGAGCCUGUAAUUUACUACCUGGUGAAAUGGUGCUCUCUGCCCUAUGAGGACAGUACCUGGGAGCUGAAAGAGGAUGUUGACGAAGGCAAGAUUCGAGAAUUUAAACGGAUCCAGUCCAGGCACCCAGAACUCAAAAGGGUGAAUCGUCCACAGGCAAGUGCCUGGAAGAAGUUGGAGCUCUCACAUGAGUAUAAAAACAGAAACCAGUUACGGGAAUAUCAGUUGGAAGGGGUCAAUUGGCUGCUCUUUAAUUGGUAUAACAGGCAGAACUGCAUCCUGGCUGAUGAGAUGGGAUUGGGCAAAACCAUUCAGUCCAUUGCCUUCUUGCAGGAGGUAUAUAAUGUAGGCAUCCAUGGCCCCUUCCUGGUCAUUGCCCCUUUGUCCACAAUUACUAACUGGGAGCGAGAAUUCAAUACAUGGACAGAGAUGAAUACUAUUGUGUAUCAUGGCAGUCUGGCCAGCCGGCAGAUGAUUCAGCAAUAUGAAAUGUACUGCAAAGAUUCACGGGGGCGUCUCAUCCCAGGUGCAUACAAGUUUGAUGCCCUGAUCACUACUUUUGAGAUGAUUUUAUCAGACUGUCCUGAGCUUCGUGAGAUUGAAUGGCGUUGUGUCAUCAUUGAUGAGGCCCAUCGACUAAAGAACCGUAAUUGCAAGUUGCUCGAUAGUCUCAAACACAUGGACCUGGAACACAAAGUGCUACUCACAGGAACACCAUUGCAAAAUACUGUGGAGGAGCUGUUUAGCUUGCUUCAUUUCUUGGAACCGUCACAGUUUCCAUCAGAAUCAGAGUUCCUCAAAGACUUUGGUGAUCUCAAGACAGAGGAACAGGUUCAAAAGCUGCAGGCCAUUCUCAAGCCAAUGAUGCUGAGAAGACUCAAAGAGGAUGUUGAAAAAAACCUGGCACCCAAACAGGAAACUAUUAUUGAAGUAGAGCUGACCAACAUCCAGAAGAAAUACUACCGGGCUAUUCUGGAGAAGAAUUUCUCCUUUCUUUCCAAAGGGGCAGGUCAUACUAACAUGCCUAAUCUACUCAACACAAUGAUGGAACUGCGCAAAUGCUGCAACCACCCAUAUCUCAUCAAUGGUGCAGAAGAAAAAAUCCUAACAGAAUUUCGAGAAGCUUGCCACAUUAUACCUCAUGACUUCCACUUGCAGGCCAUGGUUCGUUCAGCUGGCAAACUGGUUCUUAUUGACAAGUUACUUCCAAAACUUAAAGCUGGUGGCCAUAAGGUUCUUAUCUUCUCCCAGAUGGUACGCUGCCUAGAUAUCCUAGAGGAUUAUCUAAUCCAGAGAAGGUACUUAUAUGAGCGUAUUGAUGGGCGCGUUAGAGGUAACCUUCGACAGGCUGCUAUUGACCGCUUCAGCAAGCCUGACUCAGAUCGCUUUGUCUUCCUGCUCUGCACCCGGGCUGGUGGACUUGGUAUUAAUCUCACAGCGGCUGAUACCUGCAUCAUCUUUGAUUCAGACUGGAAUCCACAAAAUGACCUGCAGGCCCAGGCACGGUGUCACCGAAUUGGGCAGAGCAAAGCUGUGAAGGUGUACCGUCUCAUCACACGGAAUUCUUAUGAGAGAGAGAUGUUUGAUAAGGCUAGUCUCAAGCUGGGAUUGGAUAAAGCUGUACUUCAGUCCAUGAGUGGUCGGGAUGGCAACAUUACUGGAAUCCAACAAUUCUCCAAGAAGGAGAUUGAAGAUCUCUUACGAAAAGGAGCGUAUGCGGCCAUAAUGGAGGAAGAUGACGAGGGCUCCAAGUUUUGUGAAGAGGACAUUGACCAGAUCUUGUUAAGACGAACCACAACCAUCACCAUUGAGUCUGAAGGAAAGGGUUCUACCUUUGCCAAGGCAAGCUUUGUUGCUUCUGAAAAUAGGACAGAUAUUUCUCUGGACGACCCCAACUUUUGGCAAAAGUGGGCCAAAAAGGCUGACCUGGACAUGGAUCUACUCAACAGCAAGAAUAACUUGGUGAUUGACACACCUAGAGUACGAAAACAGACCCGCCACUUUAGCACUCUGAAAGAUGACGACCUGGUGGAAUUCUCUGAUUUGGAAAGUGAAGAUGACGAGCGGCCACGCUCUCGCCGACAUGACCGUCAUCAUACCUAUGGGCGCACUGACUGCUUUCGGGUGGAAAAGCACCUAUUGGUCUAUGGUUGGGGACGGUGGCGAGAUAUCUUGUCUCAUGGACGCUUCAAGCGACGUAUGACUGAACGAGAUGUGGAAACAAUUUGCCGGGCCAUCCUCGUGUACUGUCUUCUGCACUAUCGUGGGGAUGAAAAUAUCAAAGGCUUCAUUUGGGACUUGAUUAGUCCUGCUGAAAAUGGCAAGACAAAAGAAUUGCAGAAUCAUUCAGGCCUAUCUAUCCCUGUGCCCCGUGGACGCAAGGGGAAAAAGGUUAAGUCACAAAGCACUUUUGAUAUCCAUAAGGCAGAUUGGAUCCGGAAAUAUAACCCUGAUACUCUAUUCCAAGAUGAAAGUUACAAGAAGCACUUGAAGCAUCAAUGUAACAAGGUGCUGUUGCGGGUACGAAUGCUGUAUUAUCUGAGACAGGAGGUGAUUGGAGAUCAGGCAGAGAAGGUGUUAGGGGGUGCCAUUGCCAGUGAGAUUGACAUAUGGUUCCCAGUGGUGGAUCAGCUGGAGGUUCCAACAACAUGGUGGGACAGUGAGGCUGACAAGUCCCUGCUCAUUGGCGUCUUUAAGCAUGGCUAUGAAAAAUAUAAUACUAUGAGGGCAGACCCAGCCUUAUGUUUCCUGGAAAAAGCUGGCCGACCAGAUGACAAAGCUAUUGCAGCAGAACAUCGAGUGCUGGAUAAUUUCUCCGAUAUAGUAGAAGGGGUUGACUUUGAUAAGGAUUGUGAAGAUCCUGAAUAUAAACCACUCCAGGGCCCCCCGAAAGACCAAGAUGAUGAGGGUGAUCCCUUGAUGAUGAUGGAUGAGGAGAUCUCAGUGAUUGAUGGAGAUGAAGCCCAGGUGACCCAACAGCCAGGCCAUCUAUUCUGGCCUCCAGGCUCUGCUCUGACAGCUAGGCUUCGGCGCCUAGUAACAGCCUAUCAGCGCAGCUACAAGAGAGAACAGAUGAAGAUAGAGGCUGCAGAACGUGGGGACCGGAGACGGCGGCGUUGUGAGGCAGCCUUCAAGCUAAAAGAAAUUGCACGGCGGGAGAAACAGCAACGAUGGACAAGGCGUGAACAAACUGAUUUCUAUCGAGUAGUGUCUACCUUUGGUGUGGAGUAUGACCCUGACACCAUGCAGUUCCAUUGGGAUCGCUUCCGCACUUUUGCCCGACUGGAUAAAAAAACAGACGAAAGCCUUACCAAGUACUUCCAUGGGUUUGUGGCCAUGUGUCGCCAAGUGUGCCGCCUUCCCCCAGCAGCUGGAGAUGAGCCCCCGGACCCUAAUCUGUUCAUUGAGCCCAUCACUGAGGAGAGGGCCUCACGGACUCUCUAUCGUAUCGAAUUGCUUCGACGCUUACGGGAACAAGUUUUAUGCCACCCCCUUUUGGAAGAUCGGCUGGCGUUAUGUCAGCCUCCAGGUCCCGAACUGCCCAAAUGGUGGGAGCCCGUUCGGCAUGAUGGCGAGCUUCUACGGGGGGCAGCCCGCCACGGGGUGAGCCAAACAGACUGCAACAUCAUGCAGGACCCAGACUUCUCUUUUCUGGCUGCCCGUAUGAAUUUUAUGCAGAACCAUCAGUCAGGAGCGUCAGCUCCAUCCCUGUCACGCUGCUCUACCCCACUGCUGCACCAGCAGUAUACCUCGCGCACCGCCUCACCGCUGCCUCUGCGCCCAGAAGCUUCUGUUGAAAAGCCACCUGAGGAGACAGCUACCCAGGUCCCCAGUCUGGAGAGUCUGACUUUAAAGCUAGAGCAUGAGGUGGUGGCCAGGAGCCGACCAACCCCACCGGACUAUGAAAUUCGAGUAGCCCCCUCUGAUACCACCCCGCUGGUGUCUCGGAGUGUCCCACCAGUUAAACUAGAAGAUGAGGAUGAGUCGGACUCUGAGCUGGACUUGAGCAAGCUGUCACCUUCAUCCUCUUCUUCCUCCUCCUCAUCCAGCUCCAGCUCCAGCACUGAGGAGAGUGAGGAUGAAAAAGAAGAGAAGCUAACUGCUGACCGGUCCCACUCAAAGCUCUAUGAUGAAGAGAGUCUCCUGUCCCUCACUAUGUCCCAAGAUGGAUUCCCAAAUGAAGAUGGAGAACAAAUGACCCCUGAGCUUCUGCUGCUACAAGAAAGACAAAGAGCCUCUGAGUGGCCCAAGGAUCGUAUCCUGAUAAACCGUAUUGACCUCGUCUGCCAGGCUGUACUCUCAGGGAAGUGGCCUUCUAGCCGCCGGAACCAGGAAAUGGUAACUGGAGGAAUUUUGGGGCCAAGCAACCACUUGCUAGACAGUCCCUCAUUGACUCCAGGAGAAUAUGGUGACUCUCCAGUCCCCACACCACGAAGUAGCAGUGCAGCUUCCAUGGCAGAGGAGGAUGUGUCCGCAGUCACCACAGCAGCAGCUCAAUUCACCAAACUUCGCCGCGGCAUGGAUGAGAAAGAGUUUACAGUUCAAAUCAAAGAUGAGGAAGGAUUGAAGUUAACAUUCCAGAAGCACAAGUUGAUGGCUAAUGGAGUAAUGGGAGAUGGACAUCCUCUGUUUCAUAAGAAGAAGGGGAACAGAAAGAAGCUAGUCGAGGUGAGUGUUAAGAAAUUCUUUAACAUGAUGAUUAGAUAAGAUCUUUUAUAUUCCCAGUAAUUGAUGAAGGCAGUUGGGAUUGAGGGACUAGAAGAUAUUAGUUCUUUUAUGGCUACCAUUGGCUGUGCUCCCCCUCUCUCCCUGCCCCAAAGAAGAGUCUGUGCUCAUGGGGGUGGAUUCUGGGUUUGCAGCUGGAGGUGGAGUGCAUGGAAGAGCCUAAUCACCUUGAUGUGGACCUGGAGACCCGGAUCCCUGUCAUCAAUAAGGUGGAUGGUACUUUGCUGGUGGGUGAGGAUGCCCCUCGCCGGGCUGAACUGGAGAUGUGGUUACAGGGUCAUCCAGAGUUCGCUGUCGAUCCCCGAUUUCUAGCGUAUAUGGAGGAUCGCAGAAAACAGAAGUGGCAAAGAUGUAAAAAAAAUAAUAAGGCAGAAUUGAACUGUUUGGGAAUGGAACCAGUACAGACUGCUAACUCUCGGAAUGGAAAAAAGGGUCACCAUGCUGAAACUGUGUUCAACCGGGUUUUGCCAGGGCCUAUUGCACCAGACAACAGCAAGAAGCGAGCCCGUAGGAUGCGACCAGACCUUUCUAAGAUGAUGGCCCUGAUGCAGGGUGGAGGCACUGGGUCCCUUUCUCUGCAUAAUACCUUCCAGCACAGCAGUAGUGGCCUGCAGUCUGUGUCAUCUCUGGGUCACAGCAGUGCCACAUCUGCAUCUUUGCCUUUUAUGCCGUUUGUGAUGGGUGGUGCAGCAUCAUCCCCUCAUGUAGACUCCAGCACCAUGCUUCAUCACCACCACCACCACCCCCACCCCCACCAUCACCACCAUCACCAUCCAGGCCUGAGAGCCACUGGCUACCCUUCUUCACCAGCCACUACCACCUCUGGUACUGCCUUGAGGUUGCCACCACUGCAACCUGAGGAGGAUGAGGACGAUGAGGAUGAAGAUGAUGACGAUGAUUUAUCUCAGGGCUAUGAUAGCUCAGAAAGGGACUUCUCACUCAUUGAUGAUCCUAUGAUGCCAGCCAACUCAGACUCCAGCGAAGAUGCUGAUGACUGAAGUCCCAGCAUGGUCCCCAUUGCUUGGGUGGCUGCUGUAUUUUCAUUUACUCUGGCCCUUGGACUAUGGAAAAGUGGGAGGGGCAGGGGAGAUGUGGGGAUACCCAGGACUCCAGGAGGUGAAAAGGAAAAAAGAAAACUGUACCUGAUUGCUUCCAAAUUUGAGCGGAUUGAGUGGGCAGGGGAACUCCUAAAAUAAUACUCGACCACUUCCUCAUUUCUGGGGAAGAAAAGGAGACUAGAGCAGCUGAGGCGCUCACCCCUCCCUAGGCACCUCCAUUAACCACAGACUAUGUAGUGCUGGCCCUAGCCUCUGGCACAGCCUGUUCCUGGCCGAACUGUGGAUACAGCUGGAGGGUCAGGAACUGUUACCUUCCUUCCCUUGGCAUUAAUAAAUUUAAGUUAAUCCUU
Rhinolophus ferrumequinum (greater horseshoe bat) is the source of this 8661-nucleotide RNA transcript. It is a transcript of the gene named chromodomain helicase DNA binding protein 8, with no coding region annotated. Lineage: Eukaryota; Metazoa; Chordata; Mammalia; Chiroptera; Rhinolophidae. The transcript has 37 exons. The record is from RefSeq and is a predicted model, not a curated record.